GGCAAGUUGCCCGAGCGGCCAAAGGGAGCUGACUGUAAAUCAGCCGCGUAAGCUUCACAGGUUCGAAUCCUGUACUUGCCA
RNAcentral lists this transfer RNA (81 nucleotides) under Microbacterium sp. ARD32. Its description in RNAcentral is "tRNA-Tyr". It matches the Rfam family "tRNA". Rfam says of the family: Transfer RNA (tRNA) molecules are approximately 80 nucleotides in length. Their secondary structure includes four short double-helical elements and three loops (D, anti-codon, and T loops). Lineage: Bacteria; Bacillati; Actinomycetota; Actinomycetes; Micrococcales; Microbacteriaceae. The record is from RNAcentral.